CUGUUAAGCUUUAUGGUUUUAUAUUAUUUUUAUUUUCAUUGCGAUUAGAUAUUUUCUGAAGCUUCAUUGUCUUCUAGGACCAAUUUAUCUACCAAGCAGAAAAGGUAAAAAUAAUCUGCUCCUCUAUAACAGCCAUACAUACAGUCGUGGAGUUCUCGGGAACUACUACUGCUCCAAAAGAACCGUGAUGAAGUGUAAAGCAAAGGUGAAAUUGGAUGAAAUGAAUAAUAUUGUACUGGUGGAAGAGGGGAUUCAUAACCACGAACCGCCAGUGUUUCACAUCAGCAACAACGGAGAGGCCCAUCUUUCUAACCACUAGAAGAAACAAGAGGAUUCUCCUAUACCAAGGGUUCACAUACAGCCGCGUCAACCCAGGGCAAUACUGCUGUUCCAAACGCCUCGUGCUUAAGUGUAAAGCAAAAAUGAAGUUGGAUGAAAUUAGUACUGUAAUACUUGAUGAAGAGUUAACGCAUAACCAUCAACCGCCUCUGUUUCACAUUAGCAAAGAUGGAGAGUAUAUACCCAUCACCUAAUUCUUUGCAUGUUCUUUGUAAAAAAAUAUUAUUAAAACGUGUAUAAAGAUCAGGUCAUAUCGGCGUAGGGUUACCAGAUGUCAGGAUCUUACAUAAAUCCAAAACAAAUCAAAUUUAAACAAUGAAUCAAGCUUACAUAGAUAUCGCUUAAUAUAAAUCCAAAACAAAUCAAAUUUAAACAAUGUAUCAAGCUUAGCUGUAGUGAGUUGUGGGCCAAGAUCGCCACAGAGUGGCAGCCCAGCUCAAAACGAGGAUUUGGCAGACCACGUCGGCGAUGGCGAGACGAGUUAGACUCCUUUUUAAAGGAAUGGCCAGAGACUGCACAGGAUCGGGAAGACUGGAAAAAGUGGGGGGAGGCCUUUGCCCAGCAGUGGGACAUUAUAGGCUCCCAAUAAUAA
Long non-coding RNA from Cydia splendana, 931 nucleotides. RefSeq lists it as uncharacterized. The transcript has 2 exons. The record is from RefSeq and is a predicted model, not a curated record. NCBI's taxonomy places the organism in Eukaryota, Metazoa, Arthropoda, Insecta, Lepidoptera, Tortricidae.